GAUGAACGCUGACAGAAUGCUUAACACAUGCAAGUCGAUGGGGAAGUGGUGCUUGCACCAUGGUAACCAUGGCGGACGGGUGAGUAACGCGUAAGGAACUUGCCUGCGGGACUGGGAUAGCAGCAGGAAACUGCUGAUAAUACCGGAUAAGGUCAUUAAGCUGCAUAGCUUAGUGAUGAAAGGAGACGCCUGCGGAGAGCCUUGCGUCCUAUUAGCUAGUUGGAGGGGUAACGGCCCACCAAGGCGAAGAUAGGUAGCCGGCCUGAGAGGGUGGACGGCCACAAGGGGACUGAGACACGGCCCUUACUCCUACGGGAGGCAGCAGUGGGGAAUAUUGGACAAUGGGGGCAACCCUGAUCCAGCAAUUCUGUGUGCACGAAGACGGUUUUCGGAUUGUAAAGUGCUUUCAGCAGGGAAGAAGGAAGUGACGGUACCUGCAGAAGAAGCGACGGCUAAAUACGUG
This 463-nucleotide ribosomal RNA is filed under the name uncultured bacterium. RNAcentral describes it as "partial 16S ribosomal RNA". It matches the Rfam family "Bacterial small subunit ribosomal RNA", at positions 28 to 507 of the family's 1533-position model. The record is from RNAcentral.